Molecule: microRNA precursor, 151 nt
Filed under: Physcomitrium patens
Lineage: Eukaryota; Viridiplantae; Streptophyta; Bryopsida; Funariales; Funariaceae
Description: Physcomitrella patens miR529c stem-loop (ppt-MIR529c)
Gene: ppt-MIR529c
Source: miRBase by way of RNAcentral
UUCAGCUUUACUACAUCCAAGCCAGGAUUCGAAGAGAGAGAGCACAGCCCCGUUACUUUUGCUGAAAGAAUACUUCCUGUGAUCCAUUGGGAAUUUGAUGUUGGGCUGUGCUCUCUCUUUUCCAGUCCCUACCUGGAUGUGCUGCCAUUGC